CCUACGGGAGGCAGCAGUGGGGAAUAUUGGGCAAUGGGCGCAAGCCUGACCCAGCAACGCCGCGUGAAGGAAGAAGGCUUUCGGGUUGUAAACUUCUUUUCUGAGGGACGAAGAACGUGACGGUACCUCAGGAAUAAGCCACGGCUAACUACGUGCCACCAGCCGCGGUAAUACGUAGGUGGCAAGUGUUAUCCGGAUUUAUUGGGUGUAAAGGGGGCGCAGACGGCAAUGCAAGCCAGGAGUGAAAGCCCGGGGCCCAACCCCGGGACUGCUCUUGGAACUGCAUGGCUGGAGUACAGGGGGGGCAGGCGGAAUUCCUAGUGUAGCGGUGAAAUGCGUAGAUAUUAGGAGGAACACCGGUGGCGAAGGCGGCCUGCUGGACUGUGACUGACGUUGAGGCCCGAAGGCGUGGGGAGCAAACAGGAUUAGAUACCCCGGUAGUC
RNAcentral lists this ribosomal RNA (443 nucleotides) under uncultured bacterium. Its description in RNAcentral is "partial 16S ribosomal RNA". It matches the Rfam family "Bacterial small subunit ribosomal RNA", at positions 338 to 795 of the family's 1533-position model. The record is from RNAcentral.